UUCUUUUUCGUCUUCCUCGUCUUGCUUUUGGUAGGAGCUUCACAGGCUCGCAUGCUUAAUAUUGAUCUAUCAGACUUCAUUGACGGAACCAGUCAACAAGUCCAAAGAGGUCAUGUCAAAGUUGAGGAUAAUGAUGACUUAAUCAACCAGGUUGCCAAAUCGGCUUGCUUUGGUAACCUAAUCAACGAGAAUGCGAAAUCAGCCUACUAUAGUUACUUGAAUACCAAGCGUCUAAACAUAUACGGCACCGAUUGGCUAUGGAGGAUUGAUGUCCUUUUGAUUCUAUUAGGUCUCUCUUUUUUGAUUAGCCAU
This is a long non-coding RNA of Arabidopsis thaliana (thale cress), 312 nucleotides long. RefSeq annotates it as other RNA. Lineage: Eukaryota; Viridiplantae; Streptophyta; Magnoliopsida; Brassicales; Brassicaceae. The record is from RefSeq. The transcript has a single exon.